GGAUUAGAUACCCUGGUAGUCCACGCCGUAAACGUUGUGUGCUUGGUUUGGGCGGAUUCAACCCCGUCUGAAUCGGAGCUAACGUGUUAAGCACACCGCCUGGGGACUACGGCCGCAAGGCUAAAACUCAAAGGAAUUGACGGGGACCCGCACAAGCGGUGGAGCAUGUGGCUUAAUUCGAGGCAACGCGAAGAACCUUACCUGGGCUUGACAUAUACCUGAUAGCCUGUGAAAGCAGGUUUCCUUCGGGCAAGUAUACAGGUGCUGCAUGGCUGUCGUCAGCUCGUGUUG
This 291-nucleotide ribosomal RNA is filed under the name uncultured bacterium. RNAcentral describes it as "partial 16S ribosomal RNA". It matches the Rfam family "Bacterial small subunit ribosomal RNA", at positions 775 to 1067 of the family's 1533-position model. The record is from RNAcentral.